GGUUAAAAAGCUCGUAGUUGGAUUUCUGUCGAAGACGGUCGGUCCGCUCUAUGAGCGUGUAUCUGAUUCGGCUUUGGCAUCCUCGUGGGGAACGUAACUGUGCUUGAUUGCAUGGUGCGGAAUUCACGACUUUUACUUUGAGGAAAUUAGAGUGUUCACGGCAGGCAAGCGCCUUGAAUACAUUAGCAUGGAACAAUAAUAUAGGACUUUGGUUCUAUUUUGUUGGUUUCUAGGACUAAAGUAAUGAUUAAUAGGGAUAAUUGGGGGCAUUUGUAUUAACGCGUCAGAGGUGGAAUUCUUGGAUUGCGUUACGACAAACUACUGCGAAAGCAUUUGCCAAGGAUGUUUUCAUUGAUCAAGAACGAAAGUACGGGGAUCGAAGAUGAUUAGAUACCGUCGUAGUCUAUACCAUAAACUAUGCCGACUAGAGAUUGGAGGUCGUUCUUUUUAUGACUCCUUCAGCACCUUAUGAGAAAUCAAAGUCUUUGGGUUCCGGGGGGAGUAUGGUCGCAAGGCUGAAACUUAAAGGGAUUGGCGGAAGGGCACCACCAGGAGUGGAGCCUGCGGCUUAAUUUGACUCAACACGGGAAAACUCACCAGGUCCAGACAUAGUAAGGAUUGACAGAUUGAUAGCUCUUUCU
This 641-nucleotide ribosomal RNA is filed under the name uncultured marine eukaryote. RNAcentral's name for it is "SSU rRNA". It matches the Rfam family "Eukaryotic small subunit ribosomal RNA", at positions 617 to 1262 of the family's 1831-position model. The record is from RNAcentral.